GUCCCCGUAGCUCAGCUGGAUAGAGCACCAGAUUCCUAAUCUGGGGGUCACAGGUUCAAAUCCUGUCGGGGACGCCA
This 77-nucleotide transfer RNA is filed under the name Hyphomicrobiales bacterium. Its description in RNAcentral is "tRNA-Arg". It matches the Rfam family "tRNA". Rfam says of the family: Transfer RNA (tRNA) molecules are approximately 80 nucleotides in length. Their secondary structure includes four short double-helical elements and three loops (D, anti-codon, and T loops). Lineage: Bacteria; Pseudomonadati; Pseudomonadota; Alphaproteobacteria; Hyphomicrobiales. RNAcentral also lists the same sequence under 1 other name. The record is from RNAcentral.